CAGGCGCCCGAGGAAACUUGGCAGAGAUUUCUGGAAGGACUGUGCACCCAGCCCCUGCUCUGGAGGCUGCCCUCAGCGCAGAACCCCCCAGAGAAUGACGAAGGCCAUCCGGGGAGGGCAGAGGUGGCAUGGUGAUGGUGAGGAACAGCGUUCCCGUGGCGGGAAGGCUCAGAGGGCUCGGGAGUCUUGGCGAGAAGGGGAAGACCAAGGCUCAGAGCGGCCAGUGACCUGCUGGGCUCACACAGCUGAGUGGAGAGCCAGCCGGGAGCCGGGCGUCUAUCCCCCAGCCCACAGCCCUGAAGCUUGCAGAGGAAGCAGCUCUCCAAGGCUGGGCGGAGCCGGUGGGAAAGAACAUGGAAUGUGCCGGAACAAGCCACCUCAUCCAUCACUGUCCCUGUCUGCCUGUGGUUCCCAGCCCGCCCAGCUUGGCUGAGAACUGGCCACAGCCCAGAGCUCCCAGCCCUGGGGUUCUAGAACCUUCUUCUGCCCGCCUCCAGUCUGCAAAGCAGCCAGAAAUAAUAAGGUCCUGCUUUGAUCAUGUAGGGUCUGAUCUGCUGGUACCUCUACUGACCCUUGCAAAGGCUGUGGGAAAGUAGGAAGCUGAGCAGGUCACCCGCGUCGGGCCCUUUGCACAGGGAGGGGUGGGCACCGACAGUAGGUCACGAAGCCCCGGUGACAAAGCCCUGACUGUGUGCUGGGCCUGUGCCAGGCCUUCCAAGAUUCAGCUCAGCUCACCCGACAACAAACUUGCGAGGUGGGCGUAGGAGGAAACCCAGACACGAACCCAGGCCGUCUGGCCCCAGGAGCCACUUUCUCCGUGGGGAUUUAGGGUGCUGGGGCCCUGCUCCGGGGUCUGCUGUCCUGGGAUGGACACAACCCCAACCCAGACCC
Lutra lutra (Eurasian river otter) is the source of this 891-nucleotide long non-coding RNA. RefSeq lists it as uncharacterized. NCBI's taxonomy places the organism in Eukaryota, Metazoa, Chordata, Mammalia, Carnivora, Mustelidae. The record is from RefSeq and is a predicted model, not a curated record. The transcript has 3 exons.